AUCUGUUUUCCAAAGCUACAAUUUUGUAAUUUAAAAAAAUUUUACUGUCCUAGUCACAGAAGAUCACCUUCUUGUUUACUGAUAAAACUACCAUCAUUCAAUUGGUAUUAGAUUCUGACAUGCACAGGUAACAUUC
This is a small nucleolar RNA of Microtus ochrogaster (prairie vole), 136 nucleotides long. RefSeq annotates it as small nucleolar RNA SNORA24. Lineage: Eukaryota; Metazoa; Chordata; Mammalia; Rodentia; Cricetidae. The record is from RefSeq and is a predicted model, not a curated record.